RNAcentral lists this ribosomal RNA (253 nucleotides) under uncultured bacterium. RNAcentral describes it as "partial 16S ribosomal RNA". It matches the Rfam family "Bacterial small subunit ribosomal RNA", at positions 524 to 776 of the family's 1533-position model. The record is from RNAcentral.
UACGGGGGGGGCAAGCGUUGUUCGGAAUUACUGGGCGUAAAGGGCUCGUAGGCGGCCAACUAAGUCAGACGUGAAAUCCCUCGGCUUAACCGGGGAACUGCGUCUGAUACUGGAUGGCUUGAGUUUGGGAGAGGGAUGCGGAAUUCCAGGUGUAGCGGUGAAAUGCGUAGAUAUCAAGAGGAACACCUGCGGCGAAGGCGGGUUGCUGGGCCGACACUGACGCUGAGGCGCGAAAGCUAGGGGAGCGAACGGG